GUGAUCAUGCCACAUAUACUAAAAUUGGCAUAAUAUAGAGAAAAUAGCAUGGCCCCUGUACAAGUAUUACAUAGAAAUUGAUGAAGUGUAUCACAUUUUU
Molecule: small nuclear RNA, 100 nt
Filed under: Propithecus coquereli (Coquerel's sifaka)
Lineage: Eukaryota; Metazoa; Chordata; Mammalia; Primates; Indriidae
Source: RNAcentral